UCAGUUCGUGUUUAGCUCCGUUCAGUGUUGGUGCGGGAGUUGUAGGCUUGAAGCCUAGUGCGUGAUUCGUGUAAAUUCUUUCCAAAUUCCAUCAAAUUUCCGUUCAAAAUUUGUGUUAUUAUCAUUCAAUAGUGUCUUGUGAUUAUAUAUUUCCAAUUGUUUUGUUCUAAAAACAAUAUAGUAUUCGUUAAGCUGAUAACAAACUUAACCUGAAUCGUCAAUGACCGGGUUUCGGUUUUAUCACAUUCGCAGAUCCAAGUAGCGUAGAUAAGGUACUAACGCAAGGCAGCCACGACCUUGACGGCAAAAAGAUAGAUCCCAAAGUCGCCUUUCCUCGACGAGCACAUCCAAAGAUGGUCACGAGGACAAAGAAAAUAUUUGUGGGGGGCCUCUCGGCCCCGACCACGUUAGAAGACGUCAAAAACUAUUUCGAGCAGUUUGGACCGGUAAGUUUUUGCUUGGAUUACCUAUCGAGAAAUAAUGUGAAUGUCACAAAGUAAGUUUUAUCAAAUCUUCCUAUUUAAAUUAUUUUUGUCAUAGUCAUUCAAUUUCAGCUGUUUUCCAUGCAU
This is a long non-coding RNA of Nilaparvata lugens (brown planthopper), 569 nucleotides long. RefSeq lists it as uncharacterized. The record is from RefSeq and is a predicted model, not a curated record. The transcript has 5 exons. Lineage: Eukaryota; Metazoa; Arthropoda; Insecta; Hemiptera; Delphacidae.